GAUGAACGCUGGCGGCGUGCCUAAUACAUGCAAGUCGAGCGAACAGACGAGGAGCUUGCUCCUCUGACGUUAUCGGCGGACGGGUGAUUAACACGUGGAUAACCUACCUAUAAGACUGGGAUAACUUCGGGAAACCGUAUCUAAUACCGGAUAAUAUAUUGAACUUCAUUGUUCAAUAGUUGAAGACGGUUUUGCUGUCACUUAUAGAUUGAUCCGCGCCGCAUUAGCUAGUUGGUAAGGUAACGGCUUACCCAGGCAACGAUGCGUAGACGCCCUGAGAGCGAGAUUGGACAGCCGGGCACUGAGAAACGGUAGAGACACCUAGGGGAGGAAGCAGUAGGGAAUCUUACGCAAUGGGGGAAAGGGUGACGGUGCACCGCCGCGUGAGUGAUGAAGGUCUUAGGAUCGUAAAACUAUGUUAGUAGGGAAGAACAAAUGUGUAAGUACCUAUGAACGUAUUGACGGUACCUAAUCAGAAAGCCACGGCUAACUACGUG
RNAcentral lists this ribosomal RNA (497 nucleotides) under uncultured bacterium. RNAcentral describes it as "partial 16S ribosomal RNA". It matches the Rfam family "Bacterial small subunit ribosomal RNA", at positions 28 to 507 of the family's 1533-position model. The record is from RNAcentral.